CUCCUUCUCUCUCCUCCUCUCCCAGUGUGAUCCCCGUUUCUAAUCACAGGAGAGCGAAGCGGUGGGGAGCUCCCGCCAGAAAGCCCCUAACUGGAAGUGACUGGUUUGACCCCCCACGGCUCCGUCUCCUGAUUGUCAAGGCUAGCCGUCCUCAGAAAGCCCCUAUUAAUGUGUGCAGAACACGGGCGCGCUCCCUCCGCCGCGGCUCAGAGCAUCGUUACUCUGACUGUCAGUGUGCUCACUAAAUUGUGUCAGUCACACAGUUGGUUUUCAGCAGGCGUCACUCUGAAGUCGUCUCUAAUGGCGUGCCAUGCACCAAACGCCGCGUCUUACCUGUGGGUGAGUGUGGGUGGGUGUGUGUGAGUGUGUGUUGAGUGUGGGAGGUGUUAUCUCUUCUUUAGUUUCUCUCUCUCUUCCUCUCUUUGAUUAACAGGCCAUUGCUCAGAGGCCCAAUUCUUAUUUUUAACCUGCCUCCCAAAAGCCAACUCUGAACUGAGUGGGAGGGGAGUGCGGAGGGAGUGGGGAAAGAGCGAAGGAGAGAGGAGGAAAGAAGCAAUGAAAGGAUAGUGUUGACACUUGCUCUCUCCGUUGGUUUUCUCUGUCUGAAGUUAUCUUCAUCAGUUUCUGUAUGUUUCUGUAGGUCUCUCGUUCUGUAGGUCUCUCUGUAUGUCUCCGUCUGUAUGUAGGCCUCCCCGCCUUGCAGGUCUCUCUUACACACCUUGAGAUUCCUCCUGCAGAGUUGACGGUGCUGAGUGUAGCCCCCCGAAGCCGCCUCAAACCUAUUACUGAAAACCGGGAGAGAGGAAAGAGGAGAGGUGAGCAGACGAAAAGCACGAGACAAAACGCUAAUCAAAGCUGGGAGAGGGAGAGAAAGAGAAGAACCACAAAGAAAGCAGUGACAUCAUCCUCGCGCUGGAAAAAAAGGAGAAAGACAGCGAGAAGAAAAGAGAGCGACAAGGCCUCCUAGUUGGCGUACCUAUGCAUCUGUCAUUGAUUUCUUCCUCUGUAAAUAUUUGAAGGGCCAAUAAAGCCCUUUCUUUAUUUACUCCACUUUAUUUAUUCAGGCUCAUGCUAGCGCCUCGCAGUCUCCCUCUGGAAGGUGCGGCGUCAUCACCGCCCAAUUACUCAUGCAUUAUUAAAGCUUGUCUCCUUUCCUUUCUACUUCCUAUGUGAAGGUAGCAUUAUUAAAAGCUACUGUAUUCUUGCCCACUUCCUCCUUCCUUCCUUCCUUCCUUUCUUCCUAUCCUCCGCGCAUUUAAAAUCCUCCCUUUUCAUUUCUUCCGUGAUUUCCUUUUUUUGUCUUCUUUCUCCUCUUUUCUCUGUUAAAAGCUGACUUCCUACCUCCUCGGUUCCCCACAUAAUGUAAUACCCCGAAACUUCCUCUCUCUCUCGUUGUCUGUCCCUCCUCCGCUUCUCUUUUUCCUAACUCACUUCCAUGCUAUUCGCCCCGGGCUGCCUCCUGCAUCCUAACACAGGGAAUUGAAAAUCCUCCUAAGCUCUGAUCUGUGUGUGUAUGUGUGUUUUUUGAGAGAGAGAUUGUGUGUGUGUGUUGGGAGAGAGAUUGUGUGUGUGUGUGUUGGGAGAGUGAUUGUCUGUGUGUGUCUGACUUGUCUUUCAUUAGAGGGAGCUUUGAUGUGAAGGAACAAUGAAGGUGGCAUUGUCACUAAGGAUCUUUUUUUAAUAUAACUGCCUGGUGUCUCUUUCUGCACUGCCAGGUCACAGUGACAUCUUAUUUCAGAGAUAUAGGGUUGGAUAUGGGAAGUCAACUGCCUGGUGUCUCUGUCUGCACUGCCAGGUCACAGUGACAUCUUAUUUCAGAGAUAUAGGGUUGGAUAUGGGAAGUCAACUGCCUGGUGUCUCUGUCUGCACUGCCAGUACACAGUGACAUAUUUUUUCAGAGAUAUAGGGUUGGAUAUGGGAAGUCAACUGCCUGGUGUCUCUGUCUGCACUGCCAGUUCACAGUGACAUAUUUUUUCAGAGAUAUAGGGUUGGAUAUGGGAAGUCAACUGCCUGGUGUCUCCGUCUGCACUGCCAGUUCACAGUGACAUAUUUUUCCAGAGAUAUAGGGUUGGAUAUGGGAAGUCCAGUACACACAUAGAGUGUACCGCGACCUCAGAGAGGUGAGACGGUGAAACGGUUGGACAGACAAAGGAGAAGGGGUGGAGAGAGAACACACAGUGACAUGCUUGUACGAAAACAAAGCACAGCACAGACCGUACAAUAACAAUCCAACACCUCUUUACCAAUCUAAAUCCAACCCCUCCUCUCCAACAAUGCAGAGUUACAGAGACAAGAGAGGAAGAGACCAGGGGAGGGAGAGACCAGGGGAGGGAGAGACCAGGGGAGGGAGAGGGGGCGAGAUAGAGAGGGGAAGAGAAACAGGCAUAAACAAGGUAGUGAAAAUAGAAACACACCGUUGUACAGGGGACCAGAGGCAUCCAUUCUCUCCACCACUUCAAAAACCCGGGCAGACGACAUGAGGAAACAGCACCCGUCCCAAAAAGCACCCCGUUGCCCGUGCAGUGCACUCCUUCUGACCAGAAUGCCUAGCAGCACUGUGGGGAAUAGGGGGCCAUUUUGGACACUGUCACAGAGGGAGAUGUUUCCAAGGAAGCUCAUGGGUCCCAUGGGGACAAUGGUCCAGUUGUGCAGAAGCCCAGUAACUGCUCUGAAAAUGUAUUUAUUUUUUGUCCAGCUAAAUGAGUUGUAAGUAGAUUACUGAAGAUGUUGUUAUAUAUAGUCUUACUAUGAGGUUAUUCUUGAUUCGUAUUGACCCUAACCCUUAUGCCACGAUUGAAGUUACUGCACUUUCACGUGGUUGGGCAAAGCAGGGCGCUCUUCCAACCGCCCGAAAUAUUACAGAAGUGAUAUUUAUCUCCCCUGAAAUGUAUGUUUUCAUAUUUCAUAUUUGUGGGGUCGCAUUCUCCCUCAGCGUGUGUACGGGAGAUCGGCUAAAUGCCUCAGGAGAGACGUACCAGACCUCAGGCAGACUGGGCCUUGAGCACUUGUGGCCUCAACUACAUAAUCCAAACAUUAUGUUCCACAACCAUAGCUGAAUUCCCAGGAUAACACACACACACACACACUGAUGGAUGGGCCCUCCUCCCCAACACACUGCAUUAUAACUUCAUCCCUGACACGUUGUAUAUGAGCAGGAGCCCUCAGCCUGUAUCAUAAGUAGACCUAUUUAUAGCAUCCAUGCCGCGGCGGAGGCGCUCACAGGGGAGAACAUGAGUGAGUGUUGUUAAUAUUCCAAAUGCUAAUACCGACAACUCUCUAAUCGCCCACUUCCACAUAACAGUAGGCUGCGUCUUACAGAAAUCGCAGAACACUUUGAGUGAACUAUCCCUUCAAAGGAAUGUUUGAAACUUUAUCUUCAAGGGACAGUUCUCUUAAAAUACAAUCCUUUAUAGCCAUAUUUUGACGGAAGUGUCUUUGAAGACCCACACCAGUGGAAAUCAUUUUUAUCGACCAGAAAGUCGAUGUCCAGACCUUACCCAUAAUGUUGUACAGCGGUUCACGUCAAUAGGUCAUAUGACAUAACUAAGAUUGAGGUGAUAAAUCCAAUCUUCUCAGGUGUCUGUGAAAUCUGUCAUUUCCUAGAAAAUGAUGUGCAUACUCUUUGCAGCUGGCCUUUCAGUUCAGAGCUCAGGUUUAUUUGUCUUUGGGGCUCCAACUGACAGUCAGCUAUGUCAGUUACGCUACACUUGCAUUGCAAUAGCCCUGUUGUAAUUCUUUUUCCUUUUGUUACGAUCUGCUUAUCGUAAUAAUUUCGGUAAUUUGUGACAUUUCGCAAAUGUUUUAGCUAUUGUGUGUACAGCAAAAAUAUAUGAAUAUCUGAGGAAAUCGUGAAUGAGGAAAUUGUGUGAUAUGAUUGCAUUUUACAUUGCCGGAGGUUCAAUGGUUUUAUACCACUAAUGUAACAAGCACAUUUACAGUCAUGUAAGAAAGUACCCCCAGGAUGUUACAUAUUUGGACGUGUGGAUGUGUAAUCUUUACAUCAACACUACUGACAGAUAAAGGUAUACCUAAUUUAACAAAUGACACUGAAAGAUUGUACUUGGCAGUCACUGCAGAAAUACGCUAGGUUCAAAUAGCUGUUUUAGCCCCCUUUGGCUGAAACGCCUUCAUGCAGUUUCUUGUAACCGUCUAUCAGUGUUGUACAUCGACUGGGAGGAACUUUUGCCCCCUUUUCAGUACAGUGCUGCUUCAACGGUAAUGUUCAAGGGCUUUCUUGCAUGCGCAUCUUGUUUCAAGUCCUCCCACAGCAUUCCAAUAGGACUGAAAUCUGGACAUUGUCUCAGCCAUUCCAUUACCCUCCAUCUCCUCUGUUCGAGCCAUCCUGUUGUAGCUUUGCUUGUGUGUUUCGGGUCAUUGGUCUUGUGGAAAGAUCCAAGAUGACCUUUGGUCUAGAGAUUUAGAUUAGAUUGGAUUCAACUUUAUUGUCAUUGAACAAGUAAAGGUACGGUACAACAAGAUGCAGUUAGCAUCUAACCAGAAGUGCUAAUAGACGAGGGCGGAAAAUGUACAAGUAUUAAGUGGAAUGGUACUGAGGGCUACCUCGCAAUCCCCAAGUCCAAGUAUAAAGGCUUUGGUGACAGGGCUUUCUCCUAGGCUCUGGAACUCGCUCCCCAAAACCAUCUGUGACUCUGAGACUAUCCCCAUCUUCCAGCAAUGCCUCAAAACUCAUCUGUUCAAAAUCACCUACCCUUAGCCAUGCCCAGGCCCAUUCUCUCAAUUGUCUUUGUUUUACCAUGGUAUUUUUUUUGUUUGUUUCUGUUCCAUGUUCAUUUUGUAAAGCGUCUUUGGGUCCCUGAAAAGCGCUAUAUAAAUAUAAUGCAUUAUUAGUGAUGGGUCACAGAGUUCAGCAGUCUAUCUAAAUCACCUGGGUAAAUAUUUAUAUGGAGGAUUUUUGGCUGUGAUUCAGAUUAUGUUGGUGUAGCUAGCAAGUUGUGCUAGCUAGCUACAGCCUGGGCUCCAUUAUAGGAAAUUGUCAUGAUACGAUAUACGAGGAUGCAGUUGUUGGUGGUCUUAAAUGGAAAGCAGACCGAAAAUAUAAUGAUUAAAGCGCCCAUAUUAUGACUGCUUUUCAACUUAUAGGUCUAUAAGUUCCAUAAAACAUGUUUCUGAAGUUGUUUGCUGGAAAUAGCUUGUAGGAAAAGAUUCUUACCUCCCUCUAUUACCCUCUGUUUCAGUCCCUUUCAAAGUUUUCUGCUGCUCAUUGCAUAUUCAUUAGCUGCUGCUCCUUUGCCCACGCCCACUCUAACUGUUACCAUGGUAGCGGGGAGAGCGUAGUAGUAAAAGAGAGAAAUGCCAUCAACUUCAUCUUUUAGAAUGUAUGUAUUAUUAUGCCAACAGAUACAUCAAGCAAAAAAGUAUCACUAAUAAAUACACUCCAGGAGAAGAAACUACAGAAUGGUUGGCUUCAAGUGUAAAUAGUGCUGUGAUGUAGCAGUCUAAACCAUACACUUGUUUUGCCCUAGACAACGCUAACAUAUUCCCGUUUGUAAAUAUAAUAUUAUAAAAUAUUUACAAAUGCAUUAUUUGCACAAAUCCCCGAAAUUAUAUCCGGCGGGGGAUGAGUAUUGCUUGACCGACUGAGUCUCCGGGUUUGUAUGUGGACACCAUGCUAAUAGCUAGAAGCUAGCGGUUAGCGUUACCUUGUACUAUGUGGCAAAACACUAGCUAGCUAAAAUGUUAGUUUGCCAAAACACUUCUUGGUUAGUUUGUGUAGAAUUGCAAAAUAAAGACAGCUAAUUGUAUAGAACUACUUACAUGUCCCUUGUCUGCAGGUAUUCCACGCAAAGUUUGAAUUGCGCACUCUUUUAGCAAAAGUUUCUUGGCUAAUCCUGCCUUGUACUGACCGAAGUUGGAGAAACAGCCGUCUCAAACUGGUUAGCACAAACCGAAAAAAUUUUGAUAACUGUAGCAGGGACAUUGCCUUCAAAAAUGAAUUCAAGCCAUGCCACUCUUCUGUCCUCUGCGGCUGGGACGCGAUGGAGUGUUUUGUGCUCCUCUUUACAGCCAACCACAGUUUAAGUGGUGCUUCGACAUGGUGGUUCUGAAUCAGUAACAACAUGGAGGAUAUCAGAGAAGAAGUUACUGCUGUACCUGGUGGGUGGAGGGUGGGAAUAUUUAAAUUUUUCGGACUGUGACGUCACAGUCCGAGGAGUUUUCUAACAGCUCACCCAGAGACUGAAGACAGAGGACAUUCAGAAACCUAUAUCUCACUCAAAACAGCAUGGAUGUUUUUUUUCCAAAGUUUGUAUGCGUGUGGAAGCACCAGAGACGCAAAAGAACACCCCAAAACCCAGAAAACGUGAUUUUUUUCAUAAUAUGGGCACUUUAAGCAUUUUCAGUGAACUGUCCCUUUAAGUGAAUAAACAGGGUCCUUUUAUAGAAAGGACCGUUGUGAUGUUCUGUGAAUCGCAACACCUGGAGGCUGUCGUCAUCGGCUGUGCAGCUCUUCAAGGGCCUCGGGAGAGCGCUGCGUUACAGAAGAUGGCUGCCUUUGAUCUGGCUUAGAGAUGGAGAGAAACAAUAGCGUCAGCUGGAGAGGCCCCACACUGGAACAACACAUACACACACUCAAAGACACAUAGGAACGAUGCACUCUACAGCAAAUAGUCAAACUGAACACAUGGCAGGCUCCUUUGAAGCAGCGGGAAUGUGAUAGGGAGGAGGCAGCAGCAGCAGUUACAUGACAGUCAGACGGUAAGUUAGCACUGUGUCAACAGUAGCAGUUAUGUGACAGUCAGGUUGUAAGUUCACUGUGUCAACAGUAGCAGUUAUGUGACAGUCAGGCUGUAAGUUCAGUGUGACAACAGUAGCAGUUAUGUGACAGUCAGGUUGUAAGUUCAGUGUGUCAACAGUAGCAGUUAUAUGACAGUCAGGUUGUAAGUUCAGUGUGACAACAGUAGCAGUUAUGUGACAGUCAGGUUGUAAGUUCAGUGUGUCAACAGUAGCAGUUAUAUGACAGUCAGGUUGUAAGUUCAGUGUGACAACAGUAGCAGUUAUGUGACAGUCAGGCUGUAAGUUCAGUGUGUCAACAGUAGCAGUUAUGUGACAGUCAGGCUGUAAGUUCAGUGUGUCAACAGUAGCAGUUAUGUGACAGUCAGGUUGUAAGUUCAGUGUGUCAACAGUAGCAGUUAUAUGACCGUCAGGUUGUAAGUUCAGUGUGACAACAGUAGCAGUUAUGUGACAGUCAGGUUGUAAGUUCAGUGUGUCAACAGUAGCAGUUAUAUGACAGUCAGGUUGUAAGUUCAGUGUGACAACAGUAGCAGUUAGGUGACAGUCAGGCUGUAAGGUCAGUGUGUCAACAGUAGCAGUUAUGUGACAGUCAGGCUGUAAGUUCAGUGUGUCAACAGUAGCAGUUAUGUGACAGUCAGGCUGUAAGUUCAGUGUGUCAACAGUAGCAGUUAUGUGACAGUCAGGCUGUAAGUUCAGUGUGUCAACAGUAGCAGUUAUGUGACAGCCUGUAAGGUCAGUGUGUCAACAGUAGCAGUUAUGUGACAGUCAGGCUGUAAGGUCAGUUUGUCAACAGUAGCAGUUAACAGAAAAACACACAAAAAGGGUUUUGGGCCGUUGUGUCUGACAAUGGAACGAGUACACUUACAUUCAUGCUGCACUGUCUGCAGGGUAUGCUAUGUGAGCAACUGAUGGGAAAUAUUUCAUAAAUCUCUUCAAGUCUUCAUCUUACCCUUUUAGGUAAUUGUAAAUGUAAUCAACUAGAAUUUGUUAACUGGUCCUGCAUAUUCUGUUGCUAGUCUUUAAUUCUAACAGGACACCUGGAUGUUAAAACGGAAAGGCAUGUUUUGACACCACGCUGAAAAACACAUGAGAUGACCUCCCAUCUGCAUGCAUUAUACAGUACAGGGGGGAGCCAUGCUGUCUCCAAUGGCUCCAAUGUUCAAAAGGCAGUGUCAUGGGAUAAGCCGCAAAACAGACUGGAAGUUGUUUAUUAUAGAAGGACUCUUGCCUUCUCUGGUACUACAGUGCCUCCUUUUGCCUUGAAGCUUUCCAAACACCAUUGAGCUAAAACACAAACAAGGAAAACAUGUCAGUUUUCCUUGCAACUGUUUUUCUUAAUCUUUAAGUGACUGAGACGGUUAUUUAAUUCCUUUCCGCUCAGGAUUUGAAUAUUCAUGUGGAACUUAACAAAACAAACAUUAAAAAAAAUAAUGUUUAAUUCAAACUGCAACAUGAACAUAGCAUGCUGCCAUUACAGCACGAAUCCAAGGAGAGGUAAGCUGGAUGCUAAUUGGUGAUCUUUUGGCUGUCAUGAGCUACUGUUAAGCAUGUGUUGGUAUUUUCUUGUUGUUCCUGAUUAGUUGUGAAAAGGACAGCUGUUUCCAGCGGCUCUGGGUUUUAACUGUGUGAAAGAACUCUCUGUAAUGAAUUACAGAUGGCGGGAAGCUGUGGCAUUGGUCCGUGUGCAGAACGUGUGCGUCUCUAAACAAUCCAUGCGUUGCUUUUGGUGUCAGCUGAAUUCCAGGUGAAUGCCAAGCAUGAGAAUAGAGAAUGAAUGAGCGGUGUCAUUGGAAAAACAAAUACCAUUUUGGAGCUUAGCGCUCCGUUGCCCUCUCGCUAGCAGAAUAAUGGAAACUAUAAGGCAGACGGAAUUAGAUUUUUGUCAUGUUAUCCUUCACAUUCGCUACAGAUUGCUCAAGCAUUUUGUGGAUUUGGAAUUAGACGGCGUGAAGUUUUCCUCUUGAUGAGCAGUUUUCGUCUUUGCUUCAAGCGGCUUCUUGUGAAAUGUUAUAGUCCCUUACGAACACAGGCAUGUCACCUUAUAGAUGAGUACGUAGAGCAGUAUGACACUACAGGUUUGAAUAAAGCCCUUAGUUCUGACAGUGAAGCCCCAUCACUAUAUACCUUCAUAAUGAGCUGUGACUGCAUGUCAAGGUGAAAUCACUUUAGAUCACGUUAGUCAUUCUUAAUUAGUUCAUCCCGCUAGGUCCAACAAAACUUAAAUCUAACUAGGUUUCUCUCUUUUAAGACUGAAUCCUGUGGGUUUACCUGAACCAUGGACUGUAGUGGAGCCUUCCUGAAAAAGCAAACACUUCCCUUUAACAGUGGAGUACAGAUGUUAUCUGGCUGAGUUUGAGUAGGUCAGUCGGCCUGUGUGACGUUAGAGGAAACAUCUUUCUUGACUGGAGAGUAGUAAGAACACACAGCUAAUCCUCAGCAGGCCACGGGUGUCCCUUAGCUUGGCCUUCAGACUGCCGGAGGUCUCUACGACGGAGUUGAUCGGGUACAAACACGCACUUUCUCGAAAAGAAAAACACAGUGCAACGCAAUCUUUGGUGCUCUUUCUUUCUCCCCCUCUAUUCUCCAACACCCGUUUACACACCUGCCUUAACAGACAAACGCUUCGUUCCUUCUUCUCCCACGCUGCCGAAACAUUUUAUUCUGAUGUGAUCCCUGGUGAGCCGCCAUAGAUGGACAGGAGGCAAUCGACGUGCGGGAAAUACUUGAGCCAGACAGGCCCUCUCAAAACCCACUCGCCCGUACCAUUUAAAGUAAUCUGGGUUUUGGAGUUAACACCUCGAUUCUCGACAUAGCUUCAAUUCUUCCACUCCUGAAUAAACUCCCAUAAAUUGGGUCACCCGCUUUCGCCG
This is a long non-coding RNA of Esox lucius (northern pike), 9620 nucleotides long. NCBI's taxonomy places the organism in Eukaryota, Metazoa, Chordata, Actinopteri, Esociformes, Esocidae. The record is from Ensembl.